GGUCGGUUAGCUCAGUUGGUUAGAGCGUAAGUUAAAUUGUCCAUCCCACAUAUUAUAACGUCUAACAUAUCACCAGGUGGUGCUAAUAUCAAUUGAUAUGAUACGCCAAGGUCGCGAGUUCGACCCUCGUACUGACCA
This is a non-coding RNA of Patellaria atrata CBS 101060, 138 nucleotides long. The record is from the annotation of a GenBank genome assembly. NCBI's taxonomy places the organism in Eukaryota, Fungi, Ascomycota, Dothideomycetes, Patellariales, Patellariaceae.